Maniola jurtina (meadow brown) is the source of this 467-nucleotide long non-coding RNA. RefSeq lists it as uncharacterized. The transcript is spliced from 3 exons. NCBI's taxonomy places the organism in Eukaryota, Metazoa, Arthropoda, Insecta, Lepidoptera, Nymphalidae. The record is from RefSeq and is a predicted model, not a curated record.
CCUGCGCAAAUCAAUAGAGCUGAUUUUGCUCUAAAUAUAGCAAGUUUGUGUUUACCUGUUGCACGCAACCUUACUUUGCGUGAUUUUUUUACUAAAAGCGGGAUUUAAAAUAGCUUUUAAGUUGAAUUUGUGCAUAAAGUUUGCUGAGCGGCAUAAUUGUGGCAUUUGUUCAGAAUGAUCAACCCGCGAUGGUGUGCACUGUGCAAGCCAAACAACAGGCAUAUAAUCUCCUACGGCCUACGGGAACAGAACCAGAUUUCAGGACUACGUGCUGCUUUCACGUAGCCCCGAUAGAGGGCGUUGCAUCAAGUUAAAGGCAUUCCUAGGACGCAGAUCAGCAAGAGUCUUUCAAUAAUCCUUUAUUAAUAGUAUUUCAGUAUGGCGUUCACAGCUGCUAUCAGCACCAGGCGAAAAUCAAGUUGCUACAAAAUCAGAUCGGCUGAUGCAGGUCCAGCGUAUAGAAAUUA